Molecule: ribosomal RNA, 407 nt
Filed under: uncultured bacterium
Lineage: Bacteria
Description: partial 16S ribosomal RNA
Rfam family: Bacterial small subunit ribosomal RNA
Source: RNAcentral
AUUGAACGCUGGCGGCAGGCCUAACACAUGCAAGUCGAACGGAGUGGCGGACGGGUGAGUAAUGUCUGGGAAACUGCCUGAUGGAGGGGGAUAACUACUGGAAACGGUAGCUAAUACCGCAUACUAUCAGAUUAGCCUAGGUCGGAUUAGCUAGUUGGUGGGGUAAAGGCCUACCAAGGCGACGAUCGGUAACUGGGCUGAGAGGAGGAUCAGUCACACUGGAACUGAGACACGGUCCAGACUCCUCCGGGAGGCACCAGUGGGGAAUAUUGGACAAUGGGCGAAAGCCUGAGCCAGCCAUGCCGCGUGUGUGAAGAAGGUCUUCGGAUUGUAAAGCACUUUAAGUUGGGAGGCGUUACCAACAGAAUAAGCACCGGCUAACUUCGUGCCAGCAGCCGCGGUAAUUC